Molecule: long non-coding RNA, 387 nt
Filed under: Mus musculus (house mouse)
Lineage: Eukaryota; Metazoa; Chordata; Mammalia; Rodentia; Muridae
Description: long non-coding RNA chrX:151783521-151783908
Source: RNAcentral
UCCUUUGGCCACAUGUAUAUGAAUCUACAAGAAAGGUGAUAUUAUAAACAUCAGGAAAAUGUAUACUGUUCAAAAAGGAACUGCCCCAUCAAUAUCACUAUGGCAAAAUAGGAGCUGUUCACAAUGUCACUUAGCAUGCUGUUACCACUACUGUAAACAAACAAUUGAAGGGAAGGAUUCUUGCCAAGAAAAUUAAUAUGCAUAUUGAGCAUAUUAAAUACUCUAAGAGUGAAGACAGCUUCCUGAAAUGGAUGAAGAAAAAGGGUCAAAAAAAAAAAAGAAGCCAAAGAGAGAGGCACUUGGGUUCAACUGAGGUACCAGCCUGCUCCACCAAGAGGAGCAUACUUUGUAAGGGCUAACAGAAAGGGGCCUGAGCUGCUCCAGCCA